AAGGUUCGACUCGAGCGUCAGCGAGAGAACGUUGCCGCAGGCAACGGCCCGAAGGGCGAGGCGCUUUAGCGCCGAGUAAUCCUUCCCCCACCACCA
RNAcentral lists this small RNA (96 nucleotides) under Klebsiella aerogenes. RNAcentral's name for it is "partial RtT sRNA". It matches the Rfam family "RtT RNA", at positions 38 to 130 of the family's 130-position model. Rfam says of the family: This family represents a bacterial cis-regulatory element known as RtT RNA. The record is from RNAcentral. Lineage: Bacteria; Pseudomonadati; Pseudomonadota; Gammaproteobacteria; Enterobacterales; Enterobacteriaceae.